AUCGCCAUCUUGAGCUGAGGUACCCUGCGCAGCGUAUCUCCACCAGGCUGCUGGCUGAAGUGCCCUGUUGCUCGAAGUGGUUGCUUUGCUGGGAACACCAAUCCCAUGUGUUAGGUGUGAGGCCUCUGCUCACUGUCCAUGACGGGCAAAUGAAACUAGACUAACCGCAGAGGAAGAGGUGACCCAAGGCAGCUGAGAGUAACAACAAAAUGAUGUGGUAAUAACUCUUCCUACACACUCUAGUCAAUGAUAGCAUUCCUGUUUGUGUAAGAGUGGUCUUCACAGCAACGGCACAAUACUCUCAGGUUAUUGGAGAGCUGCUUUCUUUUGGUCAAGAAGAUGGGAUUCAAAGAUAACUGCUAAUGGCCUGCGGGAGCAUGCUCAGCCAAGGUGCCUUCUGAACCCUUUCAGUUCACUGUUUUCUGGGUAA
Long non-coding RNA from Cervus elaphus (red deer), 430 nucleotides. RefSeq lists it as uncharacterized. The transcript is spliced from 3 exons. The record is from RefSeq and is a predicted model, not a curated record. NCBI's taxonomy places the organism in Eukaryota, Metazoa, Chordata, Mammalia, Artiodactyla, Cervidae.